UACGAAGGGGCUAGCGUUGCUCGGAAUUACUGGGCGUAAAGGGCGCGUAGGCGGAUAGUUUAGUCAGAGGUAAAAGCCCAGGCUCAACCUUGGAACUGCCUUUGAUACUGGCUAUCUUGAGUACGGAGAGGUGUGUGGAACUCCGAGUGUAGAGGUGAAAUUCGUAGAUAUUCGGAAAGAACACCAGUGGCGAAGGCGACACACUGGCCCGUUACUGACGCUGAGGCGCGAAAGCGUGGGAGCAACAGGGAUUAAGA
RNAcentral lists this ribosomal RNA (257 nucleotides) under uncultured bacterium. Its description in RNAcentral is "partial 16S ribosomal RNA". It matches the Rfam family "Bacterial small subunit ribosomal RNA", at positions 524 to 783 of the family's 1533-position model. The record is from RNAcentral.